GGGGGUGCAAAGGUUUCGACGGGGAUAGGAAGCAAAGGUUGCAUGCCGAGGUCCGGGUGGCUCGUAAAACAAUCCGGGACGCAUUAAGCGCCGACAAUUAUAACUACGCCGUAGCAGCUUAAUAACCUGCUACCGAUCCGCCAAGCCUCUCCCACGGGCGAAGAUGGAUCGUCAUUUUAGUGGGAUAGCCGACGGAAGAGCCUGUGUACCUGACGCGAAGCCUAAGCAGGAUCGCUGACGAAGAAUCCCGGCCAGUGGAGUCUUCGAUGGUUAAAUCAAUAACUGGUAUAAGCAUGUAGACGCCUUUAGUGUAUGAUCUUCGGACGCGGGUUCGAUUCCCGCCACCUCCACCA
Molecule: transfer-messenger RNA, 353 nt
Filed under: Geobacteraceae
Lineage: Bacteria; Pseudomonadati; Thermodesulfobacteriota; Desulfuromonadia; Geobacterales
Also listed under: 1 other name
Description: Geobacter sp003712145 Standard tmRNA
Rfam family: transfer-messenger RNA
About the family: Bacterial tmRNA, also known as 10Sa RNA or SsrA, is named for its dual tRNA and mRNA-like properties.
Source: RNAcentral